GGAGGUACAGCUUAGUAGUAGAGUGCCUGCUUAGCAUGCCUGAGGUCCUGGGUUCAAUCCCCAAUACAUCCA
Molecule: transfer RNA, 72 nt
Organism: Camelus ferus (Wild Bactrian camel)
Lineage: Eukaryota; Metazoa; Chordata; Mammalia; Artiodactyla; Camelidae
Rfam family: tRNA
About the family: Transfer RNA (tRNA) molecules are approximately 80 nucleotides in length. Their secondary structure includes four short double-helical elements and three loops (D, anti-codon, and T loops).
Source: Rfam